CGCUGUCACCGCGCUCCGGCCCCGGGGCUGCGCUGCUCUGCGCGUCCCCGCGGCUCCGUGCGCGUCCCCGCGGUCCCGGGUCCACGGGUCCCCGUGUGCACCUGUGUCCCCGUGUCCCCGUGUCCCCGUGUCCGCUGUCCCCACGACCCGACGUCCCCAUGUUCCAGUGUCUUUGUGCCCCAAUGUCCCCGUGUCCCCAAUGUCCCCGUGUCCCCAUGUCCCCACAUCCCCUUGUCCCCAUGUUCCAAUGUCCCCAAUGUCUCCAUGUCCCCGUGUCCCAAUGUCCCCAUGUCCCCACGCCCCCAUGUCCCCAUGUCCCCAGUGUCCGCUGUCCCCACGUCCCCACGUCCCCACGUCCCCAUGUUCCAGUGUCUUUGUGCCCCAAUGUCCCCGUGUCCCCACGUCCCUGUGUCCCCACAUCCCCUUGUCCCCGUGUUCCAAUGUCCCCAGUGUCCCCAUGUCCCCGUGUCCCCAAUGUCCCCGUGUCCCAAUGUCCCCAUGUCCCCAAUGUCUCCAUGUCCCCACACCCCCAUGUCCCCAUGUUCCAAUGUCUCUGUGUCCCGAUGUCCCCAUGUCCCAUUGAUCAUUCCCCAUUGAUCAUUUCCCAUUGA
Molecule: long non-coding RNA, 611 nt
Filed under: Numida meleagris (helmeted guineafowl)
Lineage: Eukaryota; Metazoa; Chordata; Aves; Galliformes; Numididae
Description: lncRNA (ENSNMEG00000001419.1)
Source: RNAcentral